RNAcentral lists this ribosomal RNA (292 nucleotides) under uncultured bacterium. RNAcentral describes it as "partial 16S ribosomal RNA". It matches the Rfam family "Bacterial small subunit ribosomal RNA", at positions 505 to 796 of the family's 1533-position model. The record is from RNAcentral.
GUGUCAGCAGCCGCGGUAAUACGGAGGGUGCAAGCGUUGUUCGGAAUCACUGGGCGUAAAGCGCGUGUAGGCGGCUUCCUAAGUCUGGUGUGAAAGCCCGGGGCUCACCCCCGGAAGCGCACUGGAAACUGGGAGUCUUGAGCACCGGAGAGGAGGGUGGAAUUCCUGGUGUAGCGGUGAAAUGCGUAGAUAUCAGGAGGAACACCGGUGGCGAAGGCGGCCCUCUGGACGGAUACUGACGCUGAGACGCGAAAGCGUGGCGAGCAAACAGGAUUAGAAACCCCCGUAGUCU